Molecule: ribosomal RNA, 429 nt
Filed under: Gemmatimonadota bacterium
Lineage: Bacteria; Pseudomonadati; Gemmatimonadota
Description: Gemmatimonadetes bacterium partial 16S ribosomal RNA
Rfam family: Bacterial small subunit ribosomal RNA
Source: RNAcentral
UAGGGAAUCUUCGGCAAUGGACGAAAGUCUGACCGAGCAACGCCGCGUGAGUGAAGAAGGUUUUCGGAUCGUAAAACUCUGUUGUUAGAGAAGAACAAGGACGUUAGUAACUGAACGUCCCCUGACGGUAUCUAACCAGAAAGCCACGGCUAACUACGUGCCAGCAGCCGCGGUAAUACGUAGGUGGCAAGCGUUGUCCGGAUUUAUUGGGCGUAAAGCGAGCGCAGGCGGUUUCUUAAGUCUGAUGUGAAAGCCCCCGGCUCAACCGGGGAGGGUCAUUGGAAACUGGGGGAGUUGAGUGCAGAAGAGGAGGGUGGAAUUCCAUGUGUAGCGGUGAAAUGCGUAGAUAUAUGGAGGAACACCAGUGGCGAAGGCGGCUCUCUGGUCUGUAACUGACGCUGAGGCUCGAAGGCGUGGGGAGCAAACAGG